UUUGAAAGUAAUUAACAAGGUUUCCGUAGGUGAACCUGCGGAAGGAUCAUUAUUAAAAGAAUAGAGUGCAUUAAUUGUGGCUCGACCCCUUUUAAAUUUUACCCAAACUUUUAACACUUUUUUGCAUGAUUUGAAAGAAUCAUUGUGAUUAAGUAUACGGGGCAUUUUUUAUUGAAUGUUCCCAUUUCCCCCCCUUUUUUUUAUUUUUUUUUUUUUAAGUAACACAAGUUUAAAUGAAUGUAAAACAACCUUUAAAUUAUAAAUAACUUUUAACAAUGGAUCUCUAGGCUCUCACAUCGAUGAAGAACACAGUGAAAUGUGAUAAGUAAUGUGAAUUGCAGAAUUCAGUGAAUCAUCGAAUCUUUGAACGCAUCUUGCGCCUUUUGGUAUUCCAAAAGGCACACCUGUUUGAGUGUCAUGAAACCCUCUCAUUAAACAUUUUUUAACUUGUUUAAACUUGUUUAGUGGAUGUUGAGUGUUGCUGUCAUUAGCUCACUUUAAAUAUAUAAGUCACUUUUCAAAUAAGUUGGAUUGACUUGGUGUAAUAAUUUUAUCAUCACAUCAAGGAAAGUAGCAAUACUUGCCAUCUUGUUUAAUAUAAGGGACUUCUAAAAACCCCCCUUUUUUCAAAAUUUAAGACCUCAAAUCAGGGG
This 653-nucleotide ribosomal RNA is filed under the name Puccinia triticina. RNAcentral describes it as "eukaryotic LSU rRNA". The stretch from base 265 to 418 matches the Rfam family "5.8S ribosomal RNA". Lineage: Eukaryota; Fungi; Basidiomycota; Pucciniomycetes; Pucciniales; Pucciniaceae. The record is from RNAcentral.